GGCGAACUUGGCAUGGAACGGUUCAGAUUUAUUUUCACUGUUAGACAACUAAAUUUAACGAGCAAUCCAUGCAGCUGGAAAUAAAGUUGUCACAAAUCUCUAAAGUACAUUUUACAAAGUGUCCUGGGGGCGAGCCUCCGCCCUGGAUCAGCGCAAUUUGUUUACACUCCUUAGCGAUUUAUGUGGCAUUUAGGGGGCCAGAUGUGCCCCACCUCCUCCAACCCAUCCCCUUCCUCCACCCCAGCUCUCAAUAUCGGGAAAAACGGCCCCAGUCCAUUGUAAAUAUCACAUAAUCCACCGCAAACAAUUUUUCCGAGCUCUACGCUUUCCGCCGCACUUUUUUCCUUUUGCCUUUUAUUUUUUGAGGCCGCUCGCGGAGUAGGAAAAAUUUUAUUAAAAAGGCCCAGAACGACGGAAACUGAAAACCCUAGCGGUGGGAUAAUGGCGGCAGCAGAACAGUGAAGCGAUUUAUAAAAAGAAAACCAAAAUUACGCGACUUGUUUAAAUUCCGAAAAGCCAUUAAACGCAGCUGGGGCUCCGGACACGAAACACAAACUCAUAUCCAACAGCAAUGACUUCCCGGACCCCACAGCCCACAACCCAGAUCCCAGAUCCGAGAUCCCAGUUUCCCAGUUUCCAGAUUCUGUAUUCCCGGACAGAAUAAGAACCAGAACCGCAAUUAUCAUGAACGCAAUAUCCCGGCGCGAAGGGAGGGCCCAUGGCAAACACUUUGACGCAAAAACUUAAAUCGUUACAUAUUUAUAAACGAGCUGAGAAAGCCAGAAAACACACCCAUGUACAUAUAGAGAGUUUGGGAAAUUAGACAAGAGGGAAAAGCCAGGAAAUGGACAUCAAGUGGACACCAGCUGUAUGGCCAGUGGCAUCGCUGCUGUAUAUCAACACAUCAUAAUCCCAGGAGGGAGUUGAGGAGGAAAAGGUGGUGGAAAAUGCCUUAAAGGGGUUUUCCCGGACUCAACGGCAACCUGAGAGGAAGAUUGCUGGAAUUCGGAACUCCAGACGACGGCGCAAAAAGGCUAAGGCGAAAAAAGAUUUUUCUAGAUUUUUUAAAUGCCAUUAAACAUAAAUCUUAAACAGUUCCGGCUUAACCUUCAUAAGAUGGUGGAAACAGGUAAGGAAAUAAAGUAGCUACCGUAAUUUCCUGAUGAAAGUGAAAAUUGAAAAAGGCUUGGGAUUACUUUGUGAGUUGAAAGGUUGAAGGCUUCUUAAGAUUGUUGAUUCAAUUUGGUGGUAGCAAAGUUGAAGAUUUACAUUAGUAAAAUCUAAAAAUGAGUCCACAAAUAUUACCUAGAUUUUAGAAAUAUUUAGGGAAUAUAUUUGAUACAAAUCUUAAUCAGUUCCGGCUUGAAUUGAUUUUUCACUGUAAGAUAAUAAAAUAUUUUAAAAUCCGAAAGCUGUGUGUACUUGAAUACCACGAUUGAAUGAGCAAUAUAAAUCCUAUUUUGUGUAUUCACCAGGUAUUUAUUGGUCUUUAUCUUUGCGCACUUACCUCAAUGAAACGUUUCGGCCAUCACUUAUUGCGCUGAUCUAAUGACCCUACAACGCCCCAUAUUUUUCAAAGUUCUUAUCCCACCCAAAUCAUUGCAAACGCAAAAAACGAAGCGGAUGUAUAUAAUAGAACAAGACCUGAAUGGAAAUCCAAAGUGCAAACUCUGCGGAAAAGCGCCACUCCAAUGGGAUCUCCAAUCCACUUGCAAUCUCCACUAACCUUGUUCUUCUUUUCUCUUCUCCACUAGCGCUCCUUUGUCGGCGAUUUAUGGGUUUUUCCUGCUCCGGAAUGCUGGAUGCUACAUCCUCCCCCAUAGUUGUACACCCACACACACACAGGCACACCCACACACAUACAUACAAAGGCAGUACAAUAGUUUAAUUAACAUUAACGCUGACGCCAACUACUGAUGGCAAUAAAAAACCAUUAAAAGGAAUUUAUUUUA
Long non-coding RNA from Drosophila santomea, 1952 nucleotides. RefSeq lists it as uncharacterized. The transcript has 4 exons. NCBI's taxonomy places the organism in Eukaryota, Metazoa, Arthropoda, Insecta, Diptera, Drosophilidae. The record is from RefSeq and is a predicted model, not a curated record.